AUGGCUGAUGAAGAGUUCUAAUGCUUGUGGACUAUGAGUCCUACAUAUCUGAAACUCUAUGAUCGAGAAUCAGGAUUCUCUGAUUAUGAGUUUCACACAUUUUGGGUACCGGGGUCAAGAGUCCCACUGGUUUGGGACUCUUCGAUCAAGAUUUCAUAUCGAUGGACUUUGAUACCCGAUUGCCCAUCAGAUUUGGACUCAAUAUUUAUGAAAG
Molecule: long non-coding RNA, 214 nt
Filed under: Elaeis guineensis (African oil palm)
Lineage: Eukaryota; Viridiplantae; Streptophyta; Magnoliopsida; Arecales; Arecaceae
Description: long non-coding RNA (EGUI_LNC082099)
Source: RNAcentral